GCUGCGAUAGCUCAGUUGGUAGAGCGCCGCCAUGGUAAGGCGGAGGUCAUGGGUUCAAUUCCCAUUCGCAGCUCCA
This 76-nucleotide transfer RNA is filed under the name Candidatus Peregrinibacteria bacterium CG2_30_44_17. RNAcentral describes it as "tRNA-Thr". It matches the Rfam family "tRNA". Rfam says of the family: Transfer RNA (tRNA) molecules are approximately 80 nucleotides in length. Their secondary structure includes four short double-helical elements and three loops (D, anti-codon, and T loops). Lineage: Bacteria; Candidatus Peregrinibacteriota. RNAcentral also lists the same sequence under 4 other names. The record is from RNAcentral.